UUGCCCUAGUAACGGCGAGUGAAGCGGCAACAGCUCAAAUUUGAAAUCUGGCGUCUUUGGCGUCCGAGUUGUAAUUUGCAGAGGGCGCUUUGGCAUUGGCAGCGGUCCAAGUUCCUUGGAACAGGACGUCACAGAGGGUGAGAAUCCCGUACGUGGUCGCUAGCCUUUACCGUGUAAAGCCCCUUCGACGAGUCGAGUUGUUUGGGAAUGCAGCUCUAAAUGGGAGGUAAAUUUCUUCUAAAGCUAAAUACUGGCCAGAGACCGAUAGCGCACAAGUAGAGUGAUCGAAAGAUGAAAAGCACUUUGGAAAGAGAGUUAAAAAGCACGUGAAAUUGUUGAAAGGGAAGCGCUUGCAGCCAGACUUGCCUGUAGUUGCUCAUCCGGGUUUUUACCCGGUGCACUCUUCUGCGGGCAGGCCAGCAUCAGUUUGGGCGGUUGGAUAAAGGUCUCUGUCAUGUACCUCUCUUCGGGGAGAACUUAUAGGGGAGACGACAUGCAACCAGCCUGGACUGAGGUCCGCGCAUCUGCUAGGAUGCUGGCGUAAUGGCUGUAAGCGGCCCGUCUUGAAACACGGACCAAGGAGUCUAACAUCUAUGCGAGUGUUUGGGUGUCAAGCCCGAACGCGUAAUGAAAGUGAACGGAGGUGGGAACCCCUCGGGGUGCACCAUCGACCGAUCCUGAUGUCUUCGGAUGGAUUUGAGUAAGAGCAUAGCUGUUGGGACCCGAAAGAUGGUGAACUAUGCUUGAAUAGGGUGAAGCCAGAGGAAACUCUGGUGGAGGCUCGCAGCGGUUCUGACGUGCAAAUCGAUCGUCAAAUUUGGGCAUAGGGGCGAAAG
Molecule: ribosomal RNA, 836 nt
Filed under: Xenodidymella weymaniae
Lineage: Eukaryota; Fungi; Ascomycota; Dothideomycetes; Pleosporales; Didymellaceae
Description: partial large subunit ribosomal RNA
Rfam family: Eukaryotic large subunit ribosomal RNA
Source: RNAcentral